This 90-nucleotide transfer RNA is filed under the name Ralstonia solanacearum. RNAcentral's name for it is "tRNA-OTHER". Lineage: Bacteria; Pseudomonadati; Pseudomonadota; Betaproteobacteria; Burkholderiales; Burkholderiaceae. The record is from RNAcentral.
GCCCGAGUGGUGAAAUUGGUAGACACCGCGGACUUAAAUCCGCUGCGCCCUCAUCGGCGCGUGCCGGUUCGAUCCCGGCCUCGGGCACCA